AUACGUAGGGGGCGAGCGUUGUCCGGAAUGAUUGGGCGUACAGGGCGCGUAGGCGGCUUUGCAAGUCAGUAGUGGAAGUCCAUUUUUCAAGGAUGGAAGUGCUACAGAAACUGCGGAGCUUGAGUGCAGGAGAGGCUAUCGGAAUUCCCGGUGUAGCGGUGAAAUGCGUAGAGAUCGGGAGGAACACCAGUGGCGAAGGCGGGUAACUGGACUGCAACUGACGCUGAGGCGCGAAAGUGUGGGGAGCAAGCAGGAUUAGAUACCCUGGUAGUCCACACUGUAAACGAUGAAUGCUAGGUGUAGGAGGUAUCGACCCCUUCUGUGCCGCAGUAAACACAGUAAGCAUUCCGCCUGGGGAGUACGGUCGCAAGAUUAAAACUCAAAGGAAUUGACGGGG
This 397-nucleotide ribosomal RNA is filed under the name uncultured bacterium. RNAcentral describes it as "partial 16S ribosomal RNA". It matches the Rfam family "Bacterial small subunit ribosomal RNA", at positions 523 to 918 of the family's 1533-position model. The record is from RNAcentral.